CAGGGCUGCGGCCGUCCAGUUUGACACCCCUGGUUUAAGGUCUAUCAAACUGCUCGCUUAUUCAUGAAGGGUUACCUUACAGGGCUCCCUUUGUUACCUGGAGCAAAAGCUUGCAGUCAGAUGGGUCAGUUUCCUCACCCGGGUAUAAAUAUUAGGGAUGAUCACAGGAGGGAAUGUCCAACAUGGCGAACCUGCUUGUGUUUGUAAGCUGCCCUUUAUGUAGAUUUGUGUCUGUUUGAGAAGACGACGAUGCUGGAUGCUGUCAGGAAUACAGAAGAGCUGUAGCUGUCCCAGAGUCCCCAGCUGACGUCUUCACGCUAUUUUACUGGCUCUGUCCUCGCUACCCAUCCCAGUAUGCACUGCGGGCUUGAUCCCACAUCACUACAGAUUUCUCGUCUUGAAGAGAGACUCGUGAUAUUAUGACAUUUUCUCCCUAAAACUCUCUUGAGUCCCACUGGUCUGUUUGGGUAACACAGGUGAUGUAUCGAUUAGCUAAUCCCCCUCCUCUUUUAGACCCUCCCCUGAAGCAUACACUUGUUUACCAUGCGCUUGUCUCAUCCUUGCUCUGCUGACAAGGCUUAAUCACCCGUCCGAGUUGUUUGUUUUUACCCAGGGUGCAUCGCUGCACCCCGGUGUUUCAGUGUAGUCCUUAAAUCUGGUUUUUAUGCUCCCAGCACAGAGAAAGGAGCAGGACAUUACGGCUAUUGAUCGGUUUAUUAUGCGAGGCCUGAAUGGUGUUUGUGUUUCCUCCUUAAUCACUAAUUAAUCACGAAUUACCCAGUAGGUAUAGUACUAAUUCUGUGUUGUCUGUAUGGAGCUUUGGUCCGUUACAUAUUUGACUUUAGGAAUAAGCGACUUCAACAAAGCAGAACAUGCUCUUUAAAAAAAAAAAAAUCUUUUAAUUGCUUUUAAUAUCUCUCAUUUUUGUCCUGGACAUCCAAAUUCCCACCGAAAUGACCGUGAAGCCUCCAUCUGUGAAAGUCCCCGUUCUGGUGUAGUAAUGUCCUCCCCGCGUCCCGUGCUGAGUCAGCGUGAUGGCGGUACAUCAUUAAGGUCUUUGCGCUCCAUGUUUACGAGCGUUAGGUGAUACACAGAAACGCACUUUAAGCGCCGAGCAGCUAAAUCACCACCCCGGUCCAAACUGACUUUCCGGCGUAAAUUAGAACGGGAGUCCAUAUUGACAGAAGCUGCGGAUAUAUUUUCCGCUCCGGGCUGUAAAAUUGUCUCCUUUUCUUAUGUAGACAUCCUAUCUGAAUUAUUGCUUUGCUCCCUCCUGCCAUUUCUCACAAUAUCUGACGCCCCUCGUUCUUGCAUAGUCACCAACUUUCCACCCAGCUGGGGCUGGAUCAGUCUGCUCUGAGACGUGUCGUUUUCCAUGCUGAUGGGCUGUUUGCCUGUGCGGGUCACGUUCCCUUAACGGCGCUGGAUGCUUCUGUAGGUGCCCAGCUUGCCCUUGCUUUCCGAUGGCUGUGUUGCGUAGCGCCUAUGCUAACUGUCACUUGCUAACAGUCCAUCAUUGGAAGCUCUGUCUUGCUGCGUUUGUACUUAAGCUGGCUCCUUGUCAGCUGUGCGCCUGUGAUGUAUCACCUGCCGUAUGCGUCUCUGUGGACUAAAGCCUCUGCUAAAUAUAAAGCAUUCAAGCUUUAUGGGGUAAGCGUCUCUUUCCUUUGUGAAACGAAAUCCUGGAAGCCGGGGCCCAUGUGAGCACGUACGUUUUCAUGGUGAAAUCUGAGCGUUUGAAGGUCAGGACUCGAGGCCCUCAAACCACGCUGACCGACACCUUAUAGGGCAAGCCUUGCUAGCGGAACAGUCCGGAAAGCUGAGGCCGGUUCGUUCAUUGACCAUAAUCACUCAACGUGCCAGCCAAUCACAGCCCCUGUAAGGAAAAGUAGUAAUGAUGUCCCAAAGUUCUUGGUUGAUCAUGUGAAUACAGACAGUGUUAGCUAUUAAUGAUCAAGGGGGAAUGAUCAAAGGGGAAGCCAGGGAGAGAAUGGGGGUUCCAGUCGGCACCACUAGGGUGAUGAGGAAGAUGAUUGAAUUACAAUGAUCAGAAAGUCUCCACCCUGUCCUGCCCCAUCCCUGCCCCAGGCUCCUCAAAGUCCAGGGGGGUCACUCUUUAUAUGUAAAUUCACUCACAACACCUACA
Molecule: long non-coding RNA, 2146 nt
Organism: Paramormyrops kingsleyae
Lineage: Eukaryota; Metazoa; Chordata; Actinopteri; Osteoglossiformes; Mormyridae
Source: RefSeq, a predicted model, not a curated record